Molecule: long non-coding RNA, 468 nt
Filed under: Ursus maritimus (polar bear)
Lineage: Eukaryota; Metazoa; Chordata; Mammalia; Carnivora; Ursidae
Description: lncRNA (ENSUMAG00000016704.1)
Source: RNAcentral
ACCACACUUCACUAUUCUAUCUUCCAGAUCUCUUCCACUGGCAACACUACCCUUCCAGAGAAUAGCAUGGAGGCGAGCAUGGAAAGGGGAAUUUCAGCCUCUGUGGGAGAUCUGAGAACUUCUGUGCUCUCGAAACUUCUAAUUGAGCAUAAAGAAGGCUGGGAGAAUCUGAAAAGAACUGAACCAAAGGCCACUGAGAAGUUGUUGGUGAAGUAGGGCUGUGACCUGUAACAGACAGUGGGUCCGGAUGGACUUCUCAGGGUCUGAGACAUUAGAUGGCAAGAGGCUCACAGAGCAUUUCUCCAAUAGCCGCAACCCAGAUGGAAAAAUGCAUAGAUGAAGGUUUGAUUCCCUUUUCAUCAAUAAGUCUUUCAGGCACCCUAUGUCAUAAAAGGGUGCACACCUUAGGAAAAAAUUAAUAUGUAAAAAUUAAAUAAAGAGAGUCAGAAGGAGGAUCUGCUGUUUAUC